CACACACACACUCACACACACUCACACACACUCACACUCUCACAGUCUCUCUCUCUCACUCUCACAGUCUCUCUCUCUCACACACACACACUCACACACUCUCACUCUCACAGUCUCUCUUACACACACACACACACACACACACACACACACACACACACACACACACACACACACACACACUGGUUGCAUUGAUUUCAUCAUCAGAUUGUUUACCAUAACAUGGUAUUCAUUUAGAUUGAUAUUGAUCUAACUACCUUUUUACCAUGUCAUUUCUGGUGUGUUGUGGACUGUGAAAUACAGGUAUUUUUUAAUCACGUUGGUACUAUUUUCACAAGUACGUGGUGAAUUUUCAAAACUCCAAACUGGUAUCACUUGUAACGCAGCUAGUCUUACAUUCAAAACCUUUCAUUGUGCAUUAAUUUUGUUUGUUUGUAGACAUCAGUUCACCACACAACCAUUCCAUCCAAAAUAUACAUGUACUGUGAAAUAUAAUACCUUGGUUUAAUCACCAAAACACAACAUGAUGACAUCUUCUCAAUUUAGCUAUUUCAAAUCAGUUAAUCCAUAGUGCAGAAAUAUUUGGUAUUACGUUACUGCAUUGGUCAAUGCAGUUUUAGUACUGCAGGUUAGGGUUAGGUUAGGGUUAGUGGCAGGUUAGGGUUAGGUUAGGGUUCGGUUAGGGUUAGUAGCAGGUUAGGGUUAGGUUAGGGUUAGUGGCAGGUUAGGGUUCGGUUAGGGUUAGUAGCAGGUUAGGGUUAGGUUAGGGUUAGUAGCAGGUUAGGGUUAGAUUAGGGUUAGGUUAGGGUUAUUAGCAGGUUAGGGUUCGGUUAGGGUUAGUGGCAGGUUAGGGUUAGGUUAGGGUUCGGUUAGGGUUAGUGGUAGGUUAGGGUUCGGUUAGGGUUAGUAGCAGGUUAGGGUUAGGUUAGGGUUAGUAGCAGGUUAGGGUUAGGUUAGGGUUAGUGGCAGGUUAGGGUUAGGUUAGGGUUAGGUUAGGGUUAGGUUAGGGUUAGGGUUAGGUUAGGGUUAGUGGCAGGUUAGGGUUAGUGGCAGGUUAGGGUUAGGUUAGGGUUAGUAGCAGGUUAGGGUUAGGGUUAGGUUAGGGUUAGUGGCAGGUUAGGGUUCGGUUAGGGUAGGUUAGGUUAGGGUUAGGUUAGGGUUAGUAGUAGGUUAGGGUUAGGUUAGGGUUAGUAGCAGGUUAGGGUUAGGUUAGGGUUAGUAGCAGGUUAGGGUUAGGUUAGGGUUAGGUUAGGGUUAGGUUAGGGUUAGUGGCAGGUUAGGCUUGGGUUAGGUUAGGGUUAGUGGCAGGUUAGGGUUAGGUUAGGGUUAGUAGCAGGUUAGGCUUAGGGUUAGGUUAGGGUUAUUAGCAGGUUAGGGUUCGGUUAGGGUUAUUAGCAGGUUAGGGUUCGGUUAGGGUUAGUGGCAGGUUAGGGUUAGGUUAGGGUUCGGUUAGGGUUAGUGGUAGGUUAGGGUUCGGUUAGGGUUAGUAGCAGGUUAGGGUUAGGUUAGGGUUAGUAGCAGGUUAGGGUUAGGUUAGGGUUAGUAGCAGGUUAGGGUUCGGUUAGGGUUAGUAGCAGGUUAGGGUUAGUUUAGGGUUAGUAGCAGGUUAGGGUUCGGUUAGGGUUAGUAGCAGGUUAGGGUUAGGUUAGGGUUAGUAGCAGGUUAGGUUAGGGUUAGGUUAGGGUUAGUUUAGGGUUAGGUUAGGGUUAGUAGCAGGUUAGGGUUAGUAGCAGGUUAGGUUAGGGUUAGUUUAGGGUUAGGUUAGGGUUAGUAGCAGGUUAGGGUUCGGUUAGGGUUAGUAGCAGGUUAGGGUUAGGUUAGGGUUAGUUUAGGGUUAGGUUAGGGUUAGGUUAGGGUUAGUAGCAGGUUAGUGUUAGGUUAGGGUUAGUAGCAGGUUAGGGUUAGG
This 1906-nucleotide long non-coding RNA is filed under the name Salmo salar (Atlantic salmon). RNAcentral's name for it is "lncRNA (ENSSSAG00000093933.1)". Lineage: Eukaryota; Metazoa; Chordata; Actinopteri; Salmoniformes; Salmonidae. The record is from RNAcentral.